UAGGGAAUAUUGCAAAAUGGGCGAAAGCCCGAUGCAGCAACGCCGCGUGGGCGAUGAAGGCCUUCGGGUCGUAAAGCCCUUUUUGAGGGGAUGAGGAAGGACAGUACCCUCAGAAUAAGCCUCGGCUAACUACGUGCCAGCAGCCGCGGUAAAACGUAGGAGGCGAGCGUUAUCCGGAUUUACUGGGCGUAAAGCGCGUGCAGGCGGAUUGGAGAGUUGGAUGUGAAAGCUCCCGGCUUAACUGGGAGAGGUCGUUCAAUACUUCCAGUCUUGAGUGCAGUAGAGGGAAGUGGAAUUCCUGGUGUAGUGGUGAGAUGCGUAGAUAUCCGGAGGAACACCAGUGGCGAAAGCGGCUUCCUGGACUGUAACUGACGCUCAGACGCGAAAGCUAGGGUAGCAAACG
RNAcentral lists this ribosomal RNA (403 nucleotides) under uncultured bacterium. RNAcentral describes it as "bacterial SSU rRNA". It matches the Rfam family "Bacterial small subunit ribosomal RNA", at positions 355 to 774 of the family's 1533-position model. The record is from RNAcentral.